Long non-coding RNA from Aquila chrysaetos chrysaetos, 926 nucleotides. RefSeq lists it as uncharacterized. The transcript is spliced from 2 exons. The record is from RefSeq and is a predicted model, not a curated record. Lineage: Eukaryota; Metazoa; Chordata; Aves; Accipitriformes; Accipitridae.
UUCCUAGUACAGAAAUACCCGUUCACGUACUGCUUAGCAUAACAGCAGUGACGUACUCAUGAAGCACUCGCUGCAGCUGUCCUAAGCAAUAGCAACAGAAAUAGAUGAAAAACUCAGCUUUUUGACAACCAUGCUGGAGGUGAUGUUACGGACAGUGCACCAGACAUCCUGAGGUCUCAAGGUCAAUGGAAAAAGGACAUAAGCAGCUCUUCUAAAGAAACACAGCAGACUAUGAUUCAAGAGAGAGAAUUCUGAAGACAGCGAGUUGAAGUGAUUGCCCGUGUUCUCGGACAUAAAUGGAAAAUUAAUACAAAAAUUUAAAGCUACUGUGCUGCAGGCUGGUGCCUACCACCCAACUUCAAGAGACCCAAACUUUCCAAUUCCACAUCUAGGUUUCAGGUCCAGCACCCUCCCUUCUAUCCAACAAGGCCUGGUACCAAGUACAGCUAGCCUAUUUCCAAGCCAUCAAAGGAUCGGACUCUGGGAAGAUUCUGAUCUCUGGGUACGUGACAGUUACAAAUGAUCUGUGCAGGCCCUAUGACAGGCUGCUCACUUGGUAACUGAUGAGCUGGUGUCCCGGAGAGCAGAGCCCAUGUAUUUAGCAAAUGACAGAACUGCUAUGUUGAUCGAAUCUAUGUGGAUGGUAAAGAAAAGCAAAUACAGGCUUUACACUAAAUGCCCAUGAUGGAUAGAUUCAUCUUGCUGUGUGCUACUCUGAUCCCAAUGUAUUCAUUCAAACUACACAUGUAAUUCAAAAUUUUCCUUGAAUUUAUUCUUGUUUACAGGAACUCUGAAGCACUGUGCUUCCAAGUGUUUGCAAAUGACAAAGUACUAUACUCUGCUCCAGGGAAGGAUUUGAGUCCAUAUCCUGAAUUAAGUCUGUAGCACACUCUUGCUAGCUGCAAUAAAUAAAAGGUAGGCUUUGA